AUGGACAUGAGCACUGCCAACACCGAUCCGCCUCCGUCUUCCGGCAAGACAAGCUUCCUCAAGACUUGUAUCAAUGGAAUCAAUGCGCUCUCAGGGGUCGGGCUGCUGUCGAUUCCCUACGCACUGUCUCAGGGCGGAUGGCUGAGCCUGAUCGUCUUCAUGGCCAUCGCCGUCAUCUGCUUCUACACCGGGCUUCUCCUGCAGAGGUGUAUGGACUCCAGCUCGCUCGUCAACACCUACCCGGACAUCGGAGCCCACGCCUUCGGCCGGAGAGGCCGCGUCAUCGUCGCCACCUUCAUGUACCUCGAGCUCUACCUCGUCGCCAUCGACUUCCUCAUCCUGGAGGGGGAUAACCUGCACAAGCUCUUCCCGGCGGCGAGCUUCCGGCUCGGCGCGCUCCGUGUCAGCGGAAAGCAGGCGUUCGUGCUGGCGGCCACGCUGGCCGUGCUGCCGACCACGUGGUUCAGCAGCCUCAACGUGCUCGCCUACGUCGCUGCCGGUGGUGCGCUGGCGUCCGUUCUUCUCAUCGCCGCCGUCCUGUGGGUCGGGGUGUUCGACGGCGUUGGGUUCCGCGAGAGGGGCAGGCUGGUGCGUUGGGACAGCAUGCCCAGCGCCAUGAGCUUGUAUUCCUUCUGCUUCAGUGGCCAUGCCGUGUUUCCCAUGAUAUACACGGGGAUGAAAGACAGGAAGAGGUUCCCCAUGGUGCUGUCGCUGUGCUUCAUCGUGAGCACACUCAGCUACGGCUUGAUGGGCAUCGUCGGGUACCUGAUGUACGGCGACACGCUCAAAUCCCAGAUCACCCUCAACGUCCCGUCGGCGAGCGUGGCCGCCAAGGUGGCCAUAUACACCACGCUGGUGAACCCGCUGGCCAAGUACGCGCUGGUGGUCGCCCCCGUCGCCGAGGCCGCCGAGGGCGCGCUGGGCGUCGGCAAGAGCGCGCCCUUCCGCGCGCUCGUCAGGACGGUGCUCGUCGUCGGCACGGCUGUAGUCGCGCUGGCCGUGCCCUUUUUCGCCGACGUCGUGGGCCUCACGGGCGCUCUCCUCAGUUGCACGGCGACCAUGCUGCUGCCGUGCCUCUGCUACCUCAAGGUCCGGUCAAAGAUCGGCGGUGACAGGGGUAUGGGGCUGGAGACUGCAGCUUGCCUGGCCAUUGUCGCGAUUGGCACCGCGAUUGUUGGGCUGGGAACCUACAGUUCCGUGAAGCAGAUUAUACGCAAGUUAUGA
This 1224-nucleotide ribosomal RNA is filed under the name Triticum aestivum (bread wheat). RNAcentral's name for it is "partial small subunit ribosomal RNA". The record is from RNAcentral. Lineage: Eukaryota; Viridiplantae; Streptophyta; Magnoliopsida; Poales; Poaceae.